AUUGAACGCUAGCGGGAUGCUUUGCACAUGCAAGUCGAACGGCAGCGCGGACUUCGGUCUGGCGGCGAGUGGCGAACGGGUGAGUAAUGUAUCGGAACGUGCCCAGUAGCGGGGGAUAACUACGCGAAAGCGUAGCUAAUACCGCAUACGCCCUACGGGGGAAAGCAGGGGAUCGUAAGACCUUGCACUAUUGGAGCGGCCGAUAUCGGAUUAGCUAGUUGGUGAGGUAACGGCUCACCAAGGCGACGAUCCGUAGCUGGUUUGAGAGGACGACCAGCCACACUGGGACUGAGACACGGCCCAGACUCCUACGGGAGGCAGCAGUGGGGAAUUUUGGACAAUGGGGGCAACCCUGAUCCAGCCAUCCCGCGUGUGCGAUGAAGGCCUUCGGGUUGUAAAGCACUUUUGGCAGGAAAGAAACGUCGCGGGCUAAUACCCCGUGGAACUGACGGUACCUGCAGAAUAAGCACCGGCUAACUACGUG
Molecule: ribosomal RNA, 484 nt
Filed under: uncultured bacterium
Lineage: Bacteria
Description: partial 16S ribosomal RNA
Rfam family: Bacterial small subunit ribosomal RNA
Source: RNAcentral